CCUACGGGGGACAGCAGUAGGGAAUAUUGCUCAAUGGGGGAAACCCUGAAGCAGCAACGCCGCGUGGAGGAUGAAGGUUUUCGGAUCGUAAACUCCUUUUGUUAGAGAAGAUAAUGACGGUAUCUAACGAAUAAGCACCGGCUAACUCCGUGCCAGCCGCCGCGGUCAUACGGAGGGUGCAAGCGUUACUCGGAAUCACUGGGCGUAAAGAGCGCGUAGGCGGGAUAGCAAGUCAGAUGUGAAAUCCUAUGGCUUAACCAUAGAACUGCAUUUGAAACUGUUAUUCUAGAGUAUGGGAGAGGUAGGUGGAAUGCUUGGUGUAGGGGUAAAAUCCGUAGAGAUCAAGAGGAAUACUCAUUGCGAAGGCGACCUGCUAGAACAUAACUGACGCUGAUGCGCGAAAGCGUGGGGAGCAAACAGGAUUAGAUACCCCAGUAGUC
RNAcentral lists this ribosomal RNA (440 nucleotides) under uncultured bacterium. RNAcentral's name for it is "partial 16S ribosomal RNA". It matches the Rfam family "Bacterial small subunit ribosomal RNA", at positions 338 to 795 of the family's 1533-position model. The record is from RNAcentral.